GCCCUUGUUUGAACUGGGUUUGAUAACUUAGUUAUGACUAUCUUCUUCACUUUGUGGCACAUAUCACAUAGUUAUUCUUGGAUAGAUACAGUCACUGACGCAACCAUGAACCGCUAAUUACAAGCUGGUGACAUUCUGCUUGUCUAUGCAGCUUUGAAGUUCUAAGGCUGUUUUUCUCUUGUGCGCUUGCUCUGUUUCAUUCUCUUCUCCUCAUGCCACCCACCCCCAAUCACUUACUCUCUCUUUCCUCUUUUCACUUUAAAGCCUUUCUGGAUUCACUCUAGGACUAUCUGGAGAAAGAGGUAAGAAUGAUCAGAUUCUGUAACUUAUUGCUUUUCCUUUCCUUCUGUACUAUCCCUGCACACAGAUCUACAGUUUGAAAGUACAGUAAUAAGAUCCUCACCCAGCCCCAUCCGCAGGAAUGCAUCAACAGCUGGCCAAACAUAAUCCAACACACAGAGCUGCCUUUGUAGAAUUAGUAACAAACAGUGGAAGGGCCAGACAGGCGUCCCAGAAGAGCUCCCCAUGACAACUGGGAAACCUCCUCACCCCCAGGGUUGAGCUGACUCCACUGAGCUGGGGUUGGAGAACCCCAGCUCUCACAUCUGAAUCUACAACAAGCCUCAAGUGCCUGCCCUCAACCUCACUAGAAGCUAUUCAGAGGGCAUUCGGCUCUCCAUAACAGCAAGUUAGAAGCAAGCAUUCUCCAUACUAACAACAGCCAUACUCUGCCUCAUGGCACAUGCCUUUUGAAAUGCAACACUGCAAAUCUCCAAAUCACAUGAACAGCAUUUACACCUGUACCUAACCAUCAGCUGUGAGCUGGUAGGACCACCUCUCGUCUUUAGAAAAUAAUUUCUUUUUGCAAAUUAUAGGCUGAUCCCGGCACUCUGAAACAUGUAAAUAUAACACUGUAUUCAUCUCCACUGAGCAUUUAGCAUCUGAAGCCUGUGGUAGCCAGCUGGUCUCAAAGUCAUCUGGGAUACAUUUAUUUUGAUUAAAUUGAUCAGAUUUCUAUUUACAGGAUAGAAUUUUUUUGCCAUUACUGAAUACAGCUGUGUUUACAGGGAUUUGUAGAAGAAGAAAACAAAACCCCACAAUCGGUCCUAGCAAAGCACAGAGCAUUCAGAACUGGAAGGAGUUAAAACAGAGGGGGCUUGCUUUCACAGUAAAAAGAAAAUUCUGCAUGCAGCUGCUUUGGCCAUGCUGUCUCACUAGUCAGGAAAUGGGUGUUGAACUGGAGCUGAAAACACAAGCUGCAAUCAAGCCCGAUCCAGCAAAGUGACAGACUUCCUGUGUAAAAUGGUCAGAAACCUUUUUUCAUGUCUCUACAUGCAUGCACAUGCAUUUAAAUCCAUGCUGCGAGGCUGCGAUUUUCUCUGGGGACACUGGUACAGUCACCUAGCCCAUCAGUUCCUUCGUCGACAGCGCCGGGGACAUCCAGACUACAAUUUACAGUUCCUCUAUCCAUGUGCUGGGUUAUAAAUUAUGCCAUCCUCCCUAGAAUGAGAAUGCACAGCAAGCGGCAGACAAUCACCCGGCAUUCGGCAUCUCUUUCUUUUCACGCGCUCCCUCGCUCCGCCUUUCUCCAGCUCUGCCUUCUCAGGCAGAUACAUCAGAUACCUUGUUUAUCCAUCUUCAGCUCCACUCUGAGGUAAAAUGCCACCACAUCUCGCCAUGGGUUGUCCCCCCAGACUAAAUCCCUGGGAACAGCCUGAGCUGGGUGCACGCGGCCGAGGCGACGGCUGCCCUUGCCCUGCGGAGCACGGGUGGGCAUUGGAUGUAAGGUAUUCCUAACUUCCCCUUCCCCAGUCCUUGGCGUCCUCUCUAGCCAUCCCACCCCAGGUCUUCUGCAGCUUCACCCUGUCCUCCAAGUCCCCUCGCCCAGCUGCGAGGCAGGAGACCCCGGCCGGAGCUCCGCCAGCAGGUCCUUCUUUCGCAGGGCGCAGACGCACGAUUCCGGGAUCGGGUGCACCACGGCGAAGCCCAGGCGGGAGACGGCAGGAGCAGCUCAGAUGAAGAAACUGAAACCCACAGAGAUGAAGUAACAUCCUCAAGAUCAAAAGGUAACAAACGAUUGAGGCAGGAUUUGGAUAUUGCUCUACAUGACGGGAAAGCCUGUGCUCUUGGAAUUACAGUCAUAGUACAACAGAUCAAGUUCAAAGCAUCAUCUAAGUCAAGGAAAACCAGUAAAGAGGUUUGGAGAGACAAACAGGGUCAACUCCAGGCAUUUGGGUCAGCAGAAACGGCACGAUUGAGCAGCACUGUGACUAUAGGAUCAUGGAUCAGAGGCUGCUUCCUCUUUGGUUCUGGGCAUCAGCCUCAUGUCCACUCAAAGUAAGUGGCCCCUCUGAUUGGAAUCGGAGGUGCCUGGGUCAUCUCACAGAGCCAAACAAAUACAAUUAGCUAUUGCAAAGCCUUUUGGGAAUUAUUCCCAGUGUAAAUAAACACAUAACCAUAUAGCAAGAGCCUUGAUAAAGUCCAAAAACAUGCAAACUUGGAGUAUCUAAGAGAAAAGACCACAAUGUAAAUGAAAAACCAAAUAAACUCGGGCAAACCAUAGGAUAGGGCCCUGUCUGUGAUGGCCUGCAUAUGAUGAGCCAUAGAAAAAGGAUGGUGAAUUCUGGAUAAUAAGAAAUGUCAAUGAGAUGCAAGAACCACCUGUUUUAUGUAAAGCUCCAAAUAACCAGAUCACAGUGGACAGCCACUCAAAUAAUGCCUUCAUAAUACAGAGUAUUAUUGAGAAUAACUCAGUUCACAGAGAGCUUAAGGCAGCCAAUAUUUGAUAGCCUGUCAGAAAAAAACAGAACAGUAAUUAUAGAAAAGAAUCAUAUCCUCGGAAAAACAAAAAUUAAUCAAACUAAGUUUGUAAAGUCUAUCUUACAGACACAUUGUCUGGACUGGUCCUCUCAAAAAUACUGUUUUUUUUUAAUGCCAAUUUGUUUAGUUAAUGAUUUUUGUCUUAUUACUUCAAAACUGGAAAUAUCCUAUGACUCAUAAUAUCUUACAACCUUUCUACUUUCUUAAAGAAUCUCAAGUUUAUAAUCACAGGGGAUCGGAUUAUUUUUCAAAAAUUAAAUGGUGAUGUAAUGAUUUCUGUGUCUAUUGUAGAAAAGUCAACCUUAUUACAGCUGCAACAAUGGCAUUAAGAAAUAUGAGUAAUUCCAAUCAACUUGAGAUAAUGUCUAAUCAAACACAAAUACAACUGGUAAAUUUCAUUAAAUAGCAUGGAGAUUAAAUUAAAACACUAUUAUGUAAUAAAAACCUUUAGUGGUACUAAAAUUUUAGAAUAGUUCAGAUAUACAGAAAAAUUUCAAAGAUACACAGAGUUCCCAUUUUUUUCCUAUUACUAACCUCUCAUAUUUGUCACAACUAAUGAAUAUUCAAUAGAGUAUUAUUAACUAAAGCCUAUACAUUUAUUUAGAUUUCCUUAGUUUUUAGCUAACAUUCUUUUUCUUUGUUCCAGGAUCCCAUCCGGGCCACCACAUUGAAUUUAUUUGUCAUUUUAGGUACCUCUUGGCUGUGAGUUUCUUAGACUUUCCUUGUUUUUGGUGACCCUGACAGUUUGAGGGAGUACUAGUCAGUCAGUUAUUUUUGCAGAAUGCCCUAAAUUUGAGUUUGGCUGAUGUUUUUCUUAGGGUUUGACUGGGGUUAUGGGUUUUGGGGAGGAAGACCACAGAGGUGAAGUACCAUUCUCACCAAAUUAUAUUAAAGGUACAUACCAUCAG
Molecule: long non-coding RNA, 3728 nt
Filed under: Homo sapiens (human)
Lineage: Eukaryota; Metazoa; Chordata; Mammalia; Primates; Hominidae
Description: PREDICTED lncRNA (TCONS_00229238)
Source: RNAcentral